Ciona intestinalis (vase tunicate) is the source of this 646-nucleotide non-coding RNA. The record is from RefSeq and is a predicted model, not a curated record. Lineage: Eukaryota; Metazoa; Chordata; Ascidiacea; Phlebobranchia; Cionidae.
GGUGAGAUGCGAACGCGUGUGGCGGUGAUUCCAACAUCGAAUUCAGGUCGGGUGAGAUGCGAACGUGCGGCGGUGAUUCGAACAUCGAAUUCAGGUCGGGUGAGAUGCGAACGUGCGGCGGUGAUUCCAACAUCAAAUUCAGGUCGUGAGAUGAGAUGCGAACGCGUGUGGCGGUGAUUCCAACAUCGAAUUCAGGUCGGGUGAGAUGCGAACGCGUGUGGCGGUGAUUCCAACAUCGAAUUCAGGUCGGGUGAGAUGCGAACGCGUGUGGCGGUGAUUCCAACAUCGAAUUCAGGUCGGGUGAGAUGCGAACGCGUGUGGCGGUGAUUCCAACAUCGAAUUCAGGUCGGGUGAGAUGCGAACGUGCGGCGGUGAUUCGAACAUCUAAUUCAGGUCAGGUGAUAUGCGAACGUGUGGCGGUGUUUUCAACAUCGAAUUCAGGUCGGGUGAGAUGCGAACGUGCGGCGGUGAUUCGAACAUCUAAUUCAGGUCGGGUGAGAUGCGAACGUGCGGCGGUGAUUCGAACAUCGAAUUUAGGUCAGGUGAGAUGCGAACGCGUACGGCGGUGAUUCGAACAUCGAAUACAGGUCGGGUGAGAUGCGAACGCGUGUGGCGGUGAUUCCAACAUCGAAUUCAGGUCGGGUGA